GAUGAACGCUGGCGGCGUGCUUAACACAUGCAAGUCGAACGAAGCACUUUAUUUGAUUUCCUUCGGGACUGAUUAUUUUGUGACUGAGUGGCGGACGGGUGAGUAACGCGUGGGUAACCUGCCUUGUACAGGGGGAUAACAGUUGGAAACGGCUGCUAAUACCGCAUAAGCGCACAGCAUCGCAUGAUGCAGUGUGAAAAACUCCGGUGGUAUAAGAUGGACCCGCGUUGGAUUAGCUAGUUGGUGAGGUAACGGCCCACCAAGGCGACGAUCCAUAGCCGCCCUGAGAGGGUGACCGGCCACAUUGGGACUGAGACACGGCCCAAACUCCUACGGGAGGCAGCAGUGGGGAAUAUUGCACAAUGGGCGAAAGCCUGAUGCAGCGACGCCGCGUGAGCGAAGAAGUAUUUCGGUAUGUAAAGCUCUAUCAGCAGGGAAGAUAAUGACGGUACCUGACUAAGAAGCACCGGCUAAAUACGU
Molecule: ribosomal RNA, 480 nt
Filed under: uncultured bacterium
Lineage: Bacteria
Description: partial 16S ribosomal RNA
Rfam family: Bacterial small subunit ribosomal RNA
Source: RNAcentral